This 1214-nucleotide long non-coding RNA is filed under the name Coturnix japonica (Japanese quail). RNAcentral describes it as "lncRNA (ENSCJPG00005002919.1)". Lineage: Eukaryota; Metazoa; Chordata; Aves; Galliformes; Phasianidae. The record is from RNAcentral.
GUAUAUCCCAUUAUAUCCCAGUAUAUCCCUCCCAGUCUAUCCCAGUAUUAUCCCAGUCCCCUCCUAUUGUCUCCCAGUAUAUCCCAGUCCAUCCCAGUCCCUCCCAGUCCAUCCCAGUAUGUCCCAGUAUAUCCCAAUAUAUCCCAGUCCAUCCCAUUCCAUCCCAGUAUAUCCCAGUAUCUCCCAGUAUAUCCCAGUCCCCCCCAGUCCAUCCCAGUAUAUCCCAGUCCGUCCCAUUCCCCUCCCACUCCCCCCCCAGUAUAUCCCAGUAUAACCCAGUCCAUCCCAGUAUAUCCCAGUCCAUCCCAGUCCAUCCCACUAUAUCCCAGUCCAUCCCAUUCCCUCCCAGUAUCUCCCAAUAUAUCCCAGUCCGUCCCAUUCCCUCCCACUCCCCCCCAGUAUAUCCCAGUAUAUCCCAGUCCAUCCCAGUAUAUCCCAGUCCAUCCCAGUCCCUCCCAUUAUAUCCCAGUUUAUCCCAGUCCAUCCCAUUAUAUCCCAGUCUAUCCCAGUCCCUCCCAUUAUAUCCCAGUAUAUCCCAUUACAUCCCAUUAUAUCCCAGUCCCUCCCAGUCCAUCCCAGUAUAUCCCAUUAUAUCCCAGCCCAUCCCAGUAUAUCCCAGUAUAUCCCAGUCCAUCCCAGUCCCUCCCAUUCCCUCCCAUUAUAUCCCAGUUUAUCCCAGUCCAUCCCAUUAUAUCCCAGUCUAUCCCAGUAUAUCCCAGUCCCUCCCAUUCCCUCCCAGUAUAUCCCAUUCCCUACCAGUCCCUCCCAGUAUCUCCCAUUAUAUCCCAGUCCAUCCCAGUCCCUCCCAUUAUAUCCCAGUAUAUCCCAGUCCAUCCCAUUAUAUCCCAGUCUAUCCCAGUAUAUCCCAGUCCAUCCCAGUCCCUCCCAGUCCCUCCCAUUAUAUCCCAGUAUAUCCCAGUCCAUCCCAGUCCCCCCCACUCCCUCCCAGUAUAUCCCAGUAUAUCCCAUUAUAUCCCAGUAUAACCCAUUAUAUCCCAUUAUAUCCCAGUAUAUCCCAGUUUAUCCCAGUCCAUCCCAUUAUAUCCCAGUAUAUCCCAGUGCCCAACCUGCAGUGGGUAGGUCCUAUCAGGGUCGUACGCGCUCAGAUCCCCACAGGCCACAAAUGGGACGAUGAGUCGCGACGGUCCCGACAGCUCCGACAGGGACAGAACUGAUGGGGGGGGGCUGUUAUAACACCCCCCAGCCCCAAAACC